CAGCCGCGGUAAACGUAGGGGACAAGCGUUAUCCGGAUUCACUGGGCGUAAAGAGCGUUGAGGCGGUUCCGUAAGUUGGGCGUGAAAGCUCCGGGCUUAACCCGGAGAUGUCGUUCAAUACUGCGGGGCUUGAGGACAGCAGAGGAAGGUGGAAUUCCCGGUGUAGUGGUGAAAUGCGUAGAUAUCGGGAGGAACACCCGUGGCGAAGGCGGCCUUCUGGGCUGUUCCUGACGCUGAAGGCGAAAGCUAGGGGAGCGAACGGGAUUAGAUACCCCGGUAGUCCUAGCUGUAAACGAUGGAUGCUGGGUGUGGGGGGUGUAAAUUCCCUCUGUGCCGAAGCAAACGCGUUAAGCAUCCCGCCUGGGGACUACGGCCGCAAGGCUAAAACUCAAACGAAUUGACGGGGGCCCGCACAAGCAGCGGAGCGUGUGGUUUAAUUCGAUGCUACACGAAGAACCUUACCUGGGUUUGACAUGCACGUGGUAGGGAACCGAAAGGGGACCGACCUUCGGGAGCGUGCACAGGUGCUGCAUGGCUGUCGUCAGCUCGUGCCGUGAGGUGUCGGGUUAAGUCCCGUAACGAGCGCAACCCUUGCCCUUAGUUACAAGUGUCUAAGGGGACUGCCCGGGACAACUCGGAGGAAGGUGGGGAUGACGUCAAGUCAGCAUGGCCUUUAUAUCCAGGGCUACACGCACGCUACAAUGGCCAG
RNAcentral lists this ribosomal RNA (709 nucleotides) under uncultured Chloroflexota bacterium. Its description in RNAcentral is "bacterial SSU rRNA". It matches the Rfam family "Bacterial small subunit ribosomal RNA", at positions 512 to 1237 of the family's 1533-position model. Lineage: Bacteria; Bacillati; Chloroflexota. The record is from RNAcentral.